GCGGGUGUGGCGGAAUGGUAGACGCGGUGGACUCAAAAUCCACUUAUGGCGACAUAGUGGGGGUUCAAAUCCCUUCACCCGCA
RNAcentral lists this transfer RNA (83 nucleotides) under Clostridiales bacterium. RNAcentral's name for it is "tRNA-Leu". It matches the Rfam family "tRNA". Rfam says of the family: Transfer RNA (tRNA) molecules are approximately 80 nucleotides in length. Their secondary structure includes four short double-helical elements and three loops (D, anti-codon, and T loops). Lineage: Bacteria; Bacillati; Bacillota; Clostridia; Eubacteriales. The record is from RNAcentral.